ACGCUCGACACCUACGGGAGGCGGCAGUGGGGAAUAUUGCACAAUGGGGGAAACCCUGAUGCAGCGACGCCGCGUGAGCGAAGAAGUAUUUCGGUAUGUAAAGCUCUAUCAGCAGGGAAGAAACUGACGGUACCUGACUAAGAAGCACCGGCUAAAUACGUGCAGCAGCCGCGGUAAUCUGAGCGGGCUGGCAAGGC
Molecule: ribosomal RNA, 197 nt
Filed under: uncultured bacterium
Lineage: Bacteria
Description: partial 16S ribosomal RNA
Rfam family: Bacterial small subunit ribosomal RNA
Source: RNAcentral